GGACUACCCGGGUUUCUAAUCCUGUUUGCUCCCCUUGCUCUCGCGCCUCAGCGUCAGGAAUCAGCUAGAAAACCGCUUUCGCCACAGGUGUUCUUCCACAUAUCUACGCAUUUCACCGCUACACGUGGAAUUCCGUUUUCUCCGCCGACCCUCCAGUAUUGAAGUUUCAAAUGCAGCUCCGAAGUUGAGCUUCGGAAUUUCACAUCUGACUUUCAGUACAGCCUACGCGCCCUUUACGCCCAAUAAUUCCGAUUAAUGCUUGCACUCUCCGUAUUACCGCGGCUGCUGGCAC
This 292-nucleotide ribosomal RNA is filed under the name uncultured bacterium. RNAcentral's name for it is "partial 16S ribosomal RNA". The record is from RNAcentral.